GCAGUCGAGCGGACGGAUGGGAGCUUGCUCCCUGAAGUCAGCGGCGGACGGGUGAGUAACACGUGGGCAACCUGCCUGUAAGACUGGGAUAACUUCGGGAAACCGGAGCUAAUACCGGAUAAUGCUUUUCUCUCAUGAGGCUAUGCUGAAAGAUGGUUUCGGCUAUCACUUACAGAUGGGCCCGCGGCGCAUUAGCUAGUUGGUGAGGUAACGGCUCACCAAGGCAACGAUGCGUAGCCGACCUGAGAGGGUGAUCGGCCACACUGGGACUGAGACACGGCCCAGACUACUACGGGAGGCAGCAGUAGGGAAUCUUCCGCAAUGGACGAAAGUCUGACGGAGCAACGCCGCGUGAGUGAUGAAGGUUUUCGGAUCGUAAAACUCUGUUGUCAGGGAAGAACAAGUGCCGGAGUAACUGCCGGCACCUUGACGGUACCUGACCAGAAAGCCACGGCUAACUACGUGCCAGCAGCCGCGGUAAUACGUAGGUGGCAAGCGUUGUCCGGAAUUAUUGGGCGUAAAGCGCGCGCAGGCGGUCUCUUAAGUCUGAUGUGAAAGCCCACGGCUCAACCGUGGAGGGUCAUUGGAAACUGGGGGACUUGAGUGCAGAAGAGGAAAGUGGAAUUCCACGUGUAGCGGUGAAAUGCGUAGAGAUGUGGAGGAACACCAGUGGCGAAGGCGA
This 682-nucleotide ribosomal RNA is filed under the name Bacillus infantis. RNAcentral describes it as "bacterial SSU rRNA". It matches the Rfam family "Bacterial small subunit ribosomal RNA", at positions 57 to 724 of the family's 1533-position model. The record is from RNAcentral. Lineage: Bacteria; Bacillati; Bacillota; Bacilli; Caryophanales; Bacillaceae.